GACGAACGCUGGCGGCGUGCUUAACACAUGCAAGUCGAACGAAGAGCGAUGGAAGCUUGCUUCUAUCAAUCUUAGUGGCGAACGGGUGAGUAACGCGUAAUCAACCUGCCCUUCAGAGGGGGACAACAGUUGGAAACGACUGCUAAUACCGCAUACGAUCUAAUCUCGGCAUCGAGGAUAGAUGAAAGGUGGCCUCUACAUGUAAGCUAUCACUGAAGGAGGGGAUUGCGUCUGAUUAGCUAGUUGGAGGGGUAACGGCCCACCAAGGCGAUAAUCAGUAGCCGGUCUGAGAGGAUGAACGGCCACAUUGGGACUGAGACACGGCCCAGACUCCUACGGGAGGCAGCAGUGGGGAAUCUUCCGCAAUGGACGAAAGUCUGACGGAGCAACGCCGCGUGAGUGAUGACGGCCUUCGGGUUGUAAAGCUCUGUUAAUCGGGACGAAAGGCCUUCUUGCGAAUAGUGAGAAGGAUUGACGGUACCGGAAUAGAAAGCCACGGCUAACUACGUG
This 510-nucleotide ribosomal RNA is filed under the name uncultured bacterium. RNAcentral describes it as "partial 16S ribosomal RNA". It matches the Rfam family "Bacterial small subunit ribosomal RNA", at positions 28 to 507 of the family's 1533-position model. The record is from RNAcentral.